UAAACUCGUGCCAGCCACCGCGGUUAUACGAGAGGCUCAAGUUGACAGACAACGGCGUAAAGCGUGGUUAGGGAAACUUUAAAAACUAAAGCCGAACGUCCUCAGAGCUGUUUAACGCUUCCGAGUUAAGAAGGUCUUUAACGAAAGUAGCUUUACUAAACCUGACCCCACGAAAGCUGUGAAACAAACUGGGAUUAGAUACCCCACUAUGCUCAGCCCUAAAAUUCGAUAGGUCACUACGCCCCCUAUCCGCCCGGGUACUACGAGCAUCAGCUUAAAACCCAAAGGACUUGGCGGUGCUUCACAUCCGUCUAGAGGAGCCUGUCCUGUAACCGAUAACCCCCGUUAAACCUCACCCUCCCUUGUUAAUCCCGCCUAUAUACCGCCGUCGUCAGCCUACCCUGUGAAGGACUAGAAGUGAGCAAGAUUGGUAAGACCCAAAACGUCAGGUCGAGGUGUAGUAUAUGAGAGGGGAAGAGAUGGGCUACAUUUCCUGGAUCAGGAAAUACGAACAAUGAACUGAAAUAAGCAUUAGAAGGUGGAUUUAGCAGUAAGCAGAGAAAUAGAGUGUUCUGCUGAAAUUAAUGGCAAUAAAGCACGUACAUAUCGCCCGU
Molecule: ribosomal RNA, 614 nt
Filed under: Pomacentrus wardi (Ward's damsel)
Lineage: Eukaryota; Metazoa; Chordata; Actinopteri; Pomacentridae
Description: partial small subunit ribosomal RNA
Rfam family: Bacterial small subunit ribosomal RNA
Source: RNAcentral